AGUGAACGCUGGCGGUAGGCCUAACACAUGCAAGUCGAACGGCAGCACAGUAAGAGCUUGCUCUUACGGGUGGCGAGUGGCGGACGGGUGAGGAAUACAUCGGAAUCUACUUUUUCGUGGGGGAUAACGUAGGGAAACUUACGCUAAUACCGCAUACGACCUACGGGUGAAAGCAGGGGAUCUUCGGACCUUGCGCGAUUGAAUGAGCCGAUGUCGGAUUAGCUAGUUGGCGGGGUAAAGGCCCACCAAGGCGACGAUCCGUAGCUGGUCUGAGAGGAUGAUCAGCCACAAUGGAACUGAGACACGGUCCAGACGCCUACGAGAGGCAGCAGUGGGGAAUAUUAGACAAUGGGCGCAAGCCUGAUCCAGCCAUACCGCGUGGGUGAAGAAGGCCUUCUGGUUGUAAAGCCCUUUUGUUGGGAAAGAAAAGCAGCAGGUUAAUACCCCGCUGUUCUGACGGUACCCAAAGAAUAAGCACCGGCUAACUUCGUG
Molecule: ribosomal RNA, 492 nt
Filed under: uncultured bacterium
Lineage: Bacteria
Description: partial 16S ribosomal RNA
Rfam family: Bacterial small subunit ribosomal RNA
Source: RNAcentral